CCUACGGGGGGCAGCAGUGGGGGAUAUUGCACAAUGGGGGAAACCCUGAUGCAGCGACGCCGCGUGGGUGAAGAAGUAUUUCGGUAUGUAAAGCCCUAUCAGCAGGGAAGAAAGAAGACGGUACCUGACUAAGAAGCCCCGGCUAACUACGUGCCAGCAGCCGCGGUAAUACGUAGGGGGCGAGCGUUAUCCGGAUUCACGGGGUGUAAAGGGAGCGUAGACGGCCGUGCAAGCCAGGAGUGAAAGCCCGGGGCCCAACCCCGGGACUGCUCUUGGAACUGUGCGGCUGGAGUGCGGGAGGGGCAGGCGGAAUUCCUGGUGUAGCGGUGAAAUGCGUAGAUAUCAGGAGGAACACCGGCGGCGAAGGCGGCCUGCUGGACCGCGACUGACGUUGAGGCUCGAAAGCGUGGGGAGCGAACAGGAUUAGAUACCCGGGUAGUC
This 441-nucleotide ribosomal RNA is filed under the name uncultured bacterium. RNAcentral's name for it is "partial 16S ribosomal RNA". It matches the Rfam family "Bacterial small subunit ribosomal RNA", at positions 338 to 795 of the family's 1533-position model. The record is from RNAcentral.